CGCGAUUGGAUGAACCUAGGUGGGAUUAGCUAGUUGGUGAGGUAAUGGCUCACCAAGGCGACGAUCCCUAGCUGUUCUGAGAGGAUGAUCAGCCACACUGGGACUGAGACACGGCCCAGACUCCUACGGGAGGCAGCAGUGGGGAAUAUUGCACAAUGGGGGAAACCCUGAUGCAGCCAUGCCGCGUGUGUGAAGAAGGCCUUCGGGCUGUAAAGCACUUUCAGUAGGGAGGAAAGGGUGAGUCUUAAUACGGCUCAUCUGUGACGUUACCUACAGAAGAAGGACCGGCUAACUCCGUGCCAGCAGCCGCGGUAAUACGGAGGGUCCGAGCGUUAAUCGGAAUUACUGGGCGUAAAGCGUGCGCAGGCGGUUUGUUAAGCGAGAUGUGAAAGCCCUGGGCUCAACCUAGGAAUAGCAUUUCGAACUGGCGAACUAGAGUCUUGUAGAGGGGGGUAGAAUUCCAGGUGUAGCGGUGAAAUGCGUAGAGAUCUGGAGGAAUACCGGUGGCGAAGGCGGCCCCCUGGACAAAGACUGACGCUCAUACACGAAAGCGUGGGGAGCAAACAGGGUUAGAUACCCUGGUAGUCCACGCCGUAAACGAUGUCUACUCGGAAUUUGGUGCCUU
RNAcentral lists this ribosomal RNA (625 nucleotides) under uncultured Shewanella sp. RNAcentral's name for it is "bacterial SSU rRNA". It matches the Rfam family "Bacterial small subunit ribosomal RNA", at positions 216 to 833 of the family's 1533-position model. The record is from RNAcentral. Lineage: Bacteria; Pseudomonadati; Pseudomonadota; Gammaproteobacteria; Alteromonadales; Shewanellaceae.